GGAUCAUCGUAGGAAAAAAAUUUUGCAUUUGGAUCCAUAUCAAGGUCGGUAAUGACAGUGCUGUGUUGUUGGUUGUCUAAGUCUAACGGAUAACCAUCUUAACCACAAGAAUCUACAGGUCGAGCAAGUCUCGUAAAUUUCACGAUUGCGAGCCACGCUUCACGCAACCGUGUUUGCGUACUUGUGUUUCGAGUUGCGUGGUCGUGCGGAGUUAUAUUUACCAAAUUUAAAUGUAAUCGUUUCUACUGAUAAUAAUAUACUAUUCUCAAUAUGGCUACUGGGUGUAAAAGAUAAAUCUUAUUCUAUCUGUUCUUCAUGAGUUUUAGAUAAUUUUAGUUGUAUUUCUUUGUAAUUUUGUGUUGUACAAAGAUUAAUUUAACAUUUUCUCUGGAAGUAUUAAUUUAGAAAGAUAAUAUGCUUCAUUGGUGUUGUGUUUUGAAGUGUGAAAUGCAAAGUAAUUGUGAAGUCAAGAUAAAGUUCACUUUUAAACUGAACUAAAUAAGGUAUCUGAGAGACAACAAUGGUUAAAUGCAAUACAAUGUACAGGUUUUACUAGCGAAAUGAAAAUUUUCCUGUCCUGUCUGCUGUAAUCAUUUUAUAUCUGGUAAGUUACAAUUACAACAGUAACGAUUUUUGAAGAUGUUAACAUUUUAAUCUUAUAGGAAAAUAGGAAAACCAGCCGACUUAAUCGAUAAUAACAAUCUCCAGAUUGGGUUCCUUCAAUAAAUAUGGGCUAUAAACACAAUGAAAUAAGUUCCCCAAAAUCUAAAAUGGAGUGGUAUCAAAGGAGAAUUAAAGGAAAUAAUAUUCAUAUUGAAAUUAUUUAUAAGGCACUGGACUGUCUUAAAUUCUACAAUAAUACUAGAAUCAGCUGAGAGAAGUGGUCUACAAAAAACCAGGAAGGAAACGGAAUAUGUGGCUACGAAAGGCAAAAGAAAGGUUUACAAAGCAAAUGUGACACAUUUUUUUAAAAUAUUUAGGAAUAUCAGUAAAUUGCAUUAAAAAAUGUAUGAAAAGAUUUUGUUCAAUAAAAAUGUUUAUAUUUA
Molecule: long non-coding RNA, 1046 nt
Organism: Diabrotica virgifera virgifera (western corn rootworm)
Lineage: Eukaryota; Metazoa; Arthropoda; Insecta; Coleoptera; Chrysomelidae
Exons: 2
Source: RefSeq, a predicted model, not a curated record